GGAAACCAAAGAGAAACCCAAUACAAAUCCCUUUUAUAAAGGUCACAAAAUCAGAAAUUGGGGCACACAAGAAACGGGUUGAUGUUUUCGUCGGAUUCCGCCGACAUCUUGGCCGUGUAGGGCGGAGCGAAGUCGGAGCUGCGCUGGUUUCGCAACGAUGAGUUCAAAUUUCUUCUUGAUUUCAUUUUUUCCGGUCGCCACCGCCAACGGAAACCCAAAUAAGGGUUUUUGAGAAGCUUGACCUCCUGCCGGAAAAACAUGAGCGAAUCCUUGAUUUCAGAUGUGUGAAAAUAGGUUUUAUUGUUUUAUGGGUCAUGGUACUAUAGAGAAGAGGAACAAUGGUGAUGUGUU
RNAcentral lists this long non-coding RNA (351 nucleotides) under Erythranthe guttata (spotted monkey flower). RNAcentral describes it as "long non-coding RNA (EGUT_LNC003244)". The record is from RNAcentral. Lineage: Eukaryota; Viridiplantae; Streptophyta; Magnoliopsida; Lamiales; Phrymaceae.